Molecule: ribosomal RNA, 132 nt
Filed under: Paxillus involutus
Lineage: Eukaryota; Fungi; Basidiomycota; Agaricomycetes; Boletales; Paxillaceae
Description: partial 5.8S ribosomal RNA
Rfam family: 5.8S ribosomal RNA
About the family: 5.8S ribosomal RNA (5.8S rRNA) is a component of the large subunit of the eukaryotic ribosome. It is transcribed by RNA polymerase I as part of the 45S precursor that also contains 18S and 28S rRNA.
Source: RNAcentral
CAACUUUCAGCAACGGAUCUCUUGGCUCUCGCAUCGAUGAAGAACGCAGCGAAUUGCGAUAAGUAAUGUGAAUUGCAGAUUUUCAGUGAAUCAUCGAAUCUUUGAACGCACCUUGCGCUCCUUGGUAUUCCG